Molecule: signal recognition particle RNA, 299 nt
Filed under: Microcebus murinus (gray mouse lemur)
Lineage: Eukaryota; Metazoa; Chordata; Mammalia; Primates; Cheirogaleidae
Description: Metazoan signal recognition particle RNA (ENSMICG00000029106.2)
Rfam family: Metazoan signal recognition particle RNA
About the family: The signal recognition particle (SRP) is a universally conserved ribonucleoprotein. It is involved in the co-translational targeting of proteins to membranes. The eukaryotic SRP consists of a 300-nucleotide 7S RNA and six proteins: SRPs 72, 68, 54, 19, 14, and 9.
Source: RNAcentral
GCCAGGGUGUGGUGGUGUGAACUUGUAGUCCCAGCUACUCGGAGGCUGAGGCAGGAGGAUCGCUUGAGUCAAGGGGUUCUGGGCUGUGGUGUGCUAUGCCAGUCAGGUGUCUGUGCUAAGUCUGGCAUCAAUAGAGUGACCUCCCAGGAGUGGGAGACGACCAGGUUGCCUACGGAGGGGUGAGCCAGCCCAGGUGGAAGGGAGCAGGUCCAACCUCCCAUGCAGACCAGUAGUGGGAUCAUGCCUGAGAAUAGUUACUGGACAGCACAGCCUGGACAGCACAGCAAGAUCCCAUCUCU